GUAGGUGCCAACCGCGGAGAUGAAAUGUGAGCCUCGGUGGCCGAGGACUUCGGAUCCGCCGCUUAGCCCGCCUCAGGAGCCGCGGGGACAGACAAAGAGACCUUGGCCCCAGCGCAGUCCCGCGCGACGGUCGGGCUCGCCUCCGAGACUCCCAGGGCCAUGGCCAGGUCUCCGCGCCACCCCGCUCUCCGGAGCGUCGCCCUCUCCAUCUGACCGCCCUCCAGCGCCCCCGUCCCCUCCCGGUUCCGGGCUGUCCCUCGACUUCGAGCCCUUUCUACACACCGGUCUGUCCGUCUCUCUGUCGGUUUGUCCUGGCGCGCAACCUCCGGCCACUGGCUUGGAUGGACGCGCGGAGGCUGCCCGGGUGUCCAGGGGUCUUGCUUCCGAAGUUGGUGCUGCUCUUUGUCUACGCAGAGGAUUGCCUUGCUCAGUGUGGCAAAGACUGCAAAUCUUACUGCUGUGAUGGAACCACACCCUACUGUUGCUCCUACUAUGCCUAUAUUGGGAAUAUUCUCUCAGGGUGACGAUUAGAAACCUCACUGUGUUAGAAAAUGAGAAUUGGGGAAAUUUAUGAUGCAUAGAAUGUCUCAUCAAACUGAUUCUCCAGCAUUUCAUCCAGCCACUUCUCUCCAUGGAAAAUAAACAGUCUGUGAUGAAUAUGGAAAUAAACAGUCUGUGAUGAUGAACUUUGAUUGACAUUCCCUAGAGAUAGGAUCCAACAUAACGGUGUGGUUUGUAGAGUAGUCUUUAGAAUUGGUAGAAUUUAAGGCAUUAGAGGGGGCAGUUGAGCAGCUAAUUAUGGUUAGUAAUGGAAUAGACUAAAGCAGGACUUUACUGAAAAUGAAGAAAACUGCCAUAUGAACAAGAAUAAUUGUACAAUAUUGAACAUGAACCAAAUAAUAACUGAAAUGGAUAUAGUUAGCCAGAUGACAAAAUCUAAGAUUGAAUCCCCUCACUCAGUAAUAGACUUUUGCUUUUCUAGUCUGCUUUUAUAAAAUGCAGAUCUGCCUAAGGAUUCUUCAGUGCACCAUCUGGCCAACACAAAAAUCCCCAUGAGGAAAAAAAAUCAGGGGAAGAAUUAAUAAAGGCGAUCCUGGUGGGAUUAAGUUUCUUUUCUUCUCAAUGAAACGUGAAAGAUGUAUUGCUCAGAGUUUUGCGAAGACAGCUAAUAAAUAUCACAACUGUGGUUUUAGAGCCACGUUAUGCAUGAAAGCAAAACUGAGUUAAAAGAUAAGAAUUUCAUAUUUCCAAAUGGCAUUUGAGGCCCUAUGCUCAUUAAGUAGUCGAGCAUCCUGAAUAAAACACGUGAGGCUGUUCAAAUAAGGACAGCAUUUUAACACAGCUUGAAAGGCCUUUGGCUUUGGUGAAAAUAGACUGGCCAAUGGGGAAAUGCUCUAUAGCACAGGGAACUCUACCCAAUAUUCUGAUAAUUGGUGAUAAUUGGUAACACUGGUGAUAACCUGCAUGGGAAAAGAAUCUGAAAAAGCAUGUGUGUGGGAGCUCCUGGUUGUAGCACAGCG
This 1520-nucleotide long non-coding RNA is filed under the name Sus scrofa (pig). Its description in RNAcentral is "lncRNA (ENSSSCG00015074613.1)". Lineage: Eukaryota; Metazoa; Chordata; Mammalia; Artiodactyla; Suidae. The record is from RNAcentral.